This is a long non-coding RNA of Oreochromis niloticus (Nile tilapia), 1554 nucleotides long. RefSeq lists it as uncharacterized. The transcript has 2 exons. NCBI's taxonomy places the organism in Eukaryota, Metazoa, Chordata, Actinopteri, Cichliformes, Cichlidae. The record is from RefSeq and is a predicted model, not a curated record.
GGGUUAGUUGGAUGAUGAUGGCUGAUGAUAAGGCAACCUAACUUUUGCAUUCAGGGUCGUGGCUGUGCUAAAGCCUGUCCCAGCUGCCAUAGGACGAGAGGUGGGGUUAACUCUGGAAAGGCAGCCAGACUGUCCCAGGACCAACACAGGGAGACGGACAACAAUUCAUACUCACAUUCAUACCUAAGGUUUUCGCAUUACCAAUUAACCUAAUUCCAUCCAUGUUUUUGGACUCCAGGAGGAAGCCAGAAUACCUGGAGAAAACCCAUACAGAUACUGGAAGAACAUAUAAACUCCGCACAGAAAGGCUGCACCCAGAUGGUGGAUUUGAACCCAGGGCGUUCUUGCUGUGAGGCAGCAGUGCUAACCAGUGAAGCAAAAUCCCCUUGGUUCUGAAGUGGAUUUGCGAAGACUUUUACCAGGGAGCACUGACUUGAUUUCCUACUUUUGUGGAGUAACUAAAAACACAGUAGACCCAAAAAGAUCUUGACCAGAGAUCACUGAUAACAAAGCCAUGAUACCCCACUUGAUUCUGAGUAACUGAGAAGCAUUGUCCCUUGCUUCCUGGAAGAUCUCUACCAGGAAGCAAGGGAGUCCUGGUAACUAAGACUAUUUCUCCCACCUAUUCACAGGAAGAAACAACACAUCUUUGCCUGAGGAUCUCAGACUGCACAUAAGUUUUUGGGCCAACCCCCCCUCCCCCAAAAAAGCUACUUUUGUCUAUGCCCUUGUCACAAGAGGUCACCACAGCUCUGCAUCUUUAAUUUGGCAGAGUUUUAUGUUGGAUUCCCUUGCUGAAACAACCCCAAAGGGGAUUUGUGUCUCAAUACAGUAAAAUCUCAAGCACGGCUAUCAAGAGAAUUAGAAAAAAAUCUUCAAAAUUGAAAAACCAACUGGUAAGCAUAGUAGUCAGGGUAAAAAAAAAAGAAGUUUUUCAGGCAGUCAAAAGUCUAACAACCUUAUUUUUCACUUACUGAAAAUAUACAAGUUUUAAUGACCUAAGUAUCUUUGAAAGUGAUUGGUCCAUUUAUGGAGGUCUCUGUUGGAAGGUCAUCGCAAGACUGGACAGAAAUGGCCUGUCACACCUUGGUUUUGAUAUUGUGCAAACAGGGUUGUUGCUUCAUAAUGAGAACUGCUCUAUAAGUCCAAUGAACAGCAACCGGCGAACCAGCAGCACGGUCAUUGAAACCCCAAGAACUAUUGAUGCUCAUGGGGUCGAAAGGCUUGCUGGCAAAGAGCUACAAAUCAUUGAAGACCUUGAUGCUACUUUUUGUCAGAAAGUGUCAGAACACACAUAGUACAGCUUAUACUUGUUGCAAAUGGAUGUGUAUAGCUGUAGACCAGUCAGUUUACACAUGUGGACACCUGUCCACCAACGAAUGUUCGCCCAACUGGACAAGUGAGGAGCACAAAAGGAUAAAUGCCAGAUGCAUGUUCAUCAUAUGCUUACAAAGGAAGAGAUGGCAAUUAUGUGAUGAAGACAAGUGGGCAUAGCCAGUAUGAUAUCUUGGGUUCUGGUGUUUAUUGUGCUCACUUUGUCUAACUAUCUAAAAA